Molecule: long non-coding RNA, 223 nt
Filed under: Solanum tuberosum (potato)
Lineage: Eukaryota; Viridiplantae; Streptophyta; Magnoliopsida; Solanales; Solanaceae
Description: long non-coding RNA (STUB_LNC011618)
Source: RNAcentral
CAAGAAUACAAGAGGCACUGCAGUGGUGCAUUUGCAUCAUAAUAAGAAGACCAUGACACGGUUGCCUACUUCGACCACAUAGAGUAGCUCCAGCAGCAAAUGAGUGAAAGACAGUGGAAUUCGGAAAAGUCAAGACGAGAUUGCAAAAAAGACUCUUCAACCAGGAAGAGACCGCCUUUUGUAAUCCUCAAAGGCCAACGAGACCAAGAACUAUUGCUACAGC